Long non-coding RNA from Homo sapiens (human), 4391 nucleotides. Ensembl annotates it as OIP5 antisense RNA 1. Its record names the gene OIP5-AS1. Lineage: Eukaryota; Metazoa; Chordata; Mammalia; Primates; Hominidae. The record is from Ensembl.
GGGCGGGGCUUGUGGGAACGGCCCACCGCAGGGUUGGCCACCUUGAGAAGCUGCGAAGAUGGCGGAGUAAGGCGUGCCGCUGCAAACUGGCCUCUGGGCCGGGGGCGAGCAGCCCCCGGGAGGCCGAGUGCAUCUGUUGGACCGUGCGAGGAGAAGAAAAAAAAUAUCGGCCAGAGGAGAGGAACUAACCGAACAUUCUUCCUCCCUACCUUAUAGAGGGGAGUGGUCAUCUACACUAAAGCAAAGUGUUAGGCGCGUCCGUGCGAAGAGACCACCAAACAGGCUUUGUGUUCCUUAUCACAGGAAGAAAAUUUUCCUUGACCUUUAGGUGCUUUUAUAUUCAUCUCAAAAACAAAAUUCUGAACUCAGGACUUGGCAAAGACGGGGUUUCACCAUGUUGGCCAGGCUGGUCUUGAACUCCGGACCUGGUGAUCCACCCACUUCGGCUUCCCGAAGUGCUGGGUUUACAGAUGUGUCUCUAUGUUGUCUCCUAGAGUGGGUAGUCCUGCUUCUUUUACCCAGUUACUUUCCCGUUUUUGAAAUGUGGCUAUCACUUCUCUACACAUUACCUCCAUGAUUUGGAAUGGAAAAGGCCACUUUUCUUUUUGUUCUGCCUCUCAAAUUCAACACAGAGGAGCUCCUAGGAUUCCAGUUAUCCUGCUAACAUCUCCAGGAAGAAAGAAGCAACUCACAUGGGUCUUUUGCUGUUUGCUUAAUUAUAAAGACAUCAUUUUGCAAGCAGAAGGCUGAGUUUCAUUUGAAACAGGUGCUUAGGUGGUGGUAUUUGUGAAUACUUUUCAUUCCAAGCAAGAAGACUAAAGAAGUAGCAAGUAUGAAUGACUUCAGGGUUUAAAAAAAAUGUCUUCCAGUUUCAGCCACUACCAUGAUAAGCACAGUUGAGACUGCAGCAGUAAAUUCCAAAUAUGUGUUUCUAAUUUGACGUGAAAGAUACUAAAAAUUUAUAUUUGUAUAUUUAAAUCCUGGCUCAUCCUGUGACAUAGAUUUACUGAAUAGGAACAAAGGCCCAAUUUUAAACAAAAACCUAGGCCGGGUGUGGUGGCUCACACCUGUAAUCCCAACACUUUGGGAGGCCAAGGCAGGCAAAUCACCUGAGGUUGGGAGUUUGAGACCAGCCUGACCAACAUGGAGAAACCCCAUCUCUACUAAAAAUAGAAAAUUAGCCAGGUGUGGUGGUAGAUACGUGUAAUCCCAGCUACUCGUGAGGCUGAGGCAGGAGAAUUGCUUGAAUCCGGGAGGCGGAGGUUGCAGUGAACUGAGAUUGCACCACUGCACUCCAGCCUGGGCGACAGAGUGAGACUCCGUCUCAGAAAAAUAAAAAACAACUUUGGACAUAGAGGAGUUGGGGGCAGAGGGGGGAGGAUGAGAGAAUUUUCCAUGUAACUCCUUUUCCUUAAGAAAAAGAAGCAAAAAUCCCUCAUGCAGUGCCAUCUGACUUUAUGGUGUUUCACAUUAUAUAGUUACUUUUUUUAAUAAACGCAUAAGAUUAACUCUUCCUGCAACCCAAGGUGGAUACUUGGAUGUUUGAUUUUUAUUUAUUUAUUUAUUUAUUUUUUGAGGCAGUCUCUCUCUGUUGCCCAGGCUGGAGUGAUGCGUGAUUUCUGCUCACUGCAGUCUCUCCCACCCGGGUUCAAGCGAUUCUCCUGCCUCAGCCUCCCAAGUAGCUAGGAUUACAGGCGCGCACCACCACGCUCAGCCUGAUUUCUAGGCUGAAAAGGCUGGGACUCAGGUACUUUCCCCAGUUGGGACUGAACUUUCUCAUCAGAGAAUGGGCCUCAGAAGCAAUGUUCCCAAACUUGUGGUUGGGUCAUCGUGGAAAAGAAACCUCAAAUAAGAAAAAUAAUUACAAUAAGAAAUGGAUUUUCUUUUUUCCCACAACAGUUAUACAUUAUAAAGAACAGACUGUCGUAGAAAACUGUCUUUGCUUCCAAAUCAGCAGAGGACCAUUGUAUGUAUUGUCAGGUCUUUAUAUAAGAGUGAAACCUUUAUUUAUGCUUCUUGUGAGUAGAGAAUAAAUUUUAAAACUAAUUAGAUGAAAUUAAGAACAGAGUAUUGGAACAUCUCUGUGUUUUCCGGAAUGUUUACUCAGGUCCAUGAAUGCUGUGAUGCUGGGAACUUAGGGAAGAUUCACCAAAAUUUGAGAGUGAUAAAAAUGGCCUAAAAUGGGAAAUGGUGAGCACUCUUAUUAUUAGUGAGAUUGGUCAAUCAGCCCAUUUGAAAUGGGUAAAAAAUACUUUCAGUAAAAUAAUUACAUAUUAUAUAUAAAAUAUUUCUUUUUUUGAGGGCAGCUACUGAGUGAUAAAAGCAUAGUAGAAAUCACUUUGGUUAAAAGUAACUCAAAUUUUUCUCUUAAGUAAUCUACCAACUUCCUGAUGUUUUUCUUUAAUAUUUUGGAACUGUUCAAGACAGAAUGGAGCCUACAUAUAUGGUGUUCCACUAGUAUGUUGAAAAUGUCAUAUCAUGGAGAAUGGAGACACCUUCCAGGUGUCUGUUAAACCCAUCUUCUCUGUGUACUUCUGGCAUCUUUUUUGGUAGGAUCAUUUGGCAGGGGGUAGAGUACCUGUACUUUUGGCACCAUUGAAACCAGCUCUGGCCCACUUGUUUGAAUAGCUAUCAGACUCAGCGUCUCUAUAUGCUUUAUAUACAGUUGAGAGAACCAGUGUUUAAUGCUCUUGAAAUUGUAUCUUCCAUGCUUCAGACCAGAUGCAUUUAACAAAAUGGAUAUAUUCCAGCUGUAGUUGCCCAGUGUUUACUUAACACAUCUACAUUUUUUUCUUGUCUAUUUUGGUCCCCUUGAUAGGAAAAGCUAUAAUUUUAGGCAGGACUAUACGUCGAUUUGUAGCCAUGCUUCCUUCCUUUCCCUUGCUCAUCCAUGUUAGCUGGCAGUUUUUCUUUUGAAAAGUUAAAACCGGGAUAUGUGCAAUAGAAAUAUAUAUAUAUAUAUGUAUAUUUUAAUACUUGUGGACAAAUGUUACAAGUUGUUUAAGAACAACAAAAUCACCAAUGUCUUCCAUUUUGAGAUGUGUAUAGUUUUGUAAGCAUUAGUGCUUGGUAGCAUAUUGUAGUGCCAUGUUAGGGGUUAGUGCAUGAGUCUAGUGAUUUUAAACUUCAGGAUGAAUUAUUGAUAAUAACAAAUAGUGUAAAAAGAGUGGAAAAUCUAAACCUUUUCUUUUUCCAUAAUGUCUAAAUCUGUUAUAUUCUUCCUGGGGAAAAGAGAUUAAGGCCCAAAAGACUCAUUUAUGAAUAGAAAUGUGGGGUCAAAAUCUGAGAUACUAUAUUUGAGGACAUUUCAGCUUUCCAUAAGGUAUCUGGAAACCAGCUGUCUUUGUGUCUUAUGAAACCUCAAGUCAAAAUGAGACCGCAUUUAAUUAUUCUGCUUUGCUCUUUUUUUGGGGUGGGGGGGAGAUAGAGUUUCACUCUGUCACCCAGGCUGGAGUGCAGUGGCACAAUCUUUGCUCACUGUAACCUCUGCCUCUUGGGUUCAAGUGAUUCUCGUGCCCCAGCCUCCCGAGUAGCUGGGACUACAGGCACGUGCCACCACGCCCAGCUAAUUUUUAUAUUUUUAGUAGAGACGGGGUUUUGCUGUGUUGGCCAGGCUGGUCUCAAACUCCUGACCUCAAGUAAUCCACCUGGCCUGCUCUUUUCAUGUCUUAACAUGGCAUGUCUUUUAGUUUCAUUAUUUUCCUACUCCUUGUAUGUCAAGAAAUUACAUUUUGCAUGUCUUAUGGAGAUGCUGUUAAUUGCUUCAGUGAGUGCUUUUCUAAUCUGCAGACCAUUUACAUUUCCUGUUUGCAGCAUGCUGUGUGCAAACACUCAGUAAUUUGGAGUAUUCAAUUAUUUGUUAGGGCUCUUCCUAUUUCCAAAUGUGCUGAAUUGUCUAUUGAUGGGAUUUUCAGAUCUUUUCAUGAGAACUGGAAAUGUAGCUGGGUGGCACCUACCUAGGUUGCUACGUAGUGAGUAGACUUUCUCUUGGGUAUAGUAAGCCUCAGACAGCUUUCACUUUUAUCUACUUUACUUGUGGAAAUAAAACAGUCAUUUUGUUCUGAAAGAAUAAGAUAGCUUUCUGUAGAGAAGGAAUUCCUACCUCUAAAAGCUGCCUUGAGAACUCAGAACUGGCAGUUUUCUGAGGUGAUUUUUAAAUUUCAGUAUUAGGGAGAGUCCAGCAUUUGCUGACACAGAUUCUACAUAACUAAUGUAUGAUAGCAAAUGCAAAACUAUUAUAAUGUGGUGUAUCUUGCGCAUACACAGGUUAGAACAAGUAGACUCUGGCAGCAGAUCUCCAGAGACCCAAGUUUAGGUUCUCAUAGUGUAUUUGAAGUAGUUAUACUCCUGGCUUAAGUAGUUUAGUGCCUGGGAGAAUCCAUUACUGAAAA